This 698-nucleotide ribosomal RNA is filed under the name uncultured Staphylococcus sp. RNAcentral describes it as "bacterial SSU rRNA". It matches the Rfam family "Bacterial small subunit ribosomal RNA", at positions 60 to 739 of the family's 1533-position model. The record is from RNAcentral. Lineage: Bacteria; Bacillati; Bacillota; Bacilli; Caryophanales; Staphylococcaceae.
AGUCGAGCGAACGGACGAGAAGCUUGCUUCAUCUGAUGUUAGCGGCGGACGGGUGAGUAACACGUGGAUAACCUACCUAUAAGACUGGGAUAACUUCGGGAAACCGGAGCUAAUACCGGAUAAUAUUUUGAACCGCAUGGUUCAAAAGUGAAAGACGGUCUUGCUGUCACUUAUAGAUGGAUCCGCGCUGCAUUAGCUAGUUGGUAAGGUAACGGCUUACCAAGGCAACGAUGCAUAGCCGACCUGAGAGGGUGAUCGGCCACACUGGAACUGAGACACGGUCCAGACUCCUACGGGAGGCAGCAGUAGGGAAUCUUCCGCAAUGGGCGAAAGCCUGACGGAGCAACGCCGCGUGAGUGAUGAAGGUCUUCGGAUCGUAAAACUCUGUUAUUAGGGAAGAACAUAUGUGUAAGAAACUGUGCACAUCUUGACGGUACCUAAUCAGAAAGCCACGGCUAACUACGUGCCAGCAGCCGCGGUAAUACGUAGGUGGCAAGCGUUAUCCGGAAUUAUUGGGCGUAAAGCGCGCGUAGGCGGUUUUUUAAGUCUGAUGUGAAAGCCCACGGCUCAACCGUGGAGGGUCAUUGGAAACUGGAAAACUUGAGUGCAGAAGAGGAAAGUGGAAUUCCAUGUGUAGCGGUGAAAUGCGCAGAGAUAUGGAGGAACACCAGUGGCGAAGGCGACUUUCUGGUCUGUAA